This 236-nucleotide long non-coding RNA is filed under the name Lathyrus oleraceus (garden pea). Its description in RNAcentral is "Pisum sativum (pea) long non-coding RNA (PSAT_LNC010281)". Lineage: Eukaryota; Viridiplantae; Streptophyta; Magnoliopsida; Fabales; Fabaceae. The record is from RNAcentral.
UUCUAUGAAGGGCAAACAGGCUACUAACGUUGAACCAAGGACCACUGAAGGUCUUAAAGGGAAAACAAUCGAGGCUACUGAGGGCCUAAGAAAGAAGUUCGAAGCAAUUUCAAUCACGGAUGACGCUAGUCUGGGCGUUAACAUGGUAUACCUGAAGCAAAUUCCCUCAGAAAUGGAGGAAGUGGAGGAAUGUUUGAAGAUGGAGCAGGAAGGGAUGAGGUUUGGCUAUCCCAAAG